GUGGAAAUUUUCAGUUUGUCCGAAUUAAUUUGGACGAUUGCCAUAUUUCAGGGUACCCUAUUUUGGUAUCCUUAAAGGGUUACUCUGAGAACGAUGAAUAUUACAGUGAUUUAAAGUAGUCAUGGUGCCUGGAGUCUGUAUGUGCAGUUUUUCAUUAUAAAACACUGCGCAUGUAGAGAAUGACCCGUCUGCUACUGGAGGUGUAACUCCACCUCCGUCAACAUCAUUGCGGCAUCAUCAGCCAGCCUGAAAAUAGUG
Molecule: non-coding RNA, 258 nt
Organism: Pelobates cultripes (western spadefoot toad)
Lineage: Eukaryota; Metazoa; Chordata; Amphibia; Anura; Pelobatidae
Source: the annotation of a GenBank genome assembly